GGAGCCCGCGGCCCACGAAUGUUGGGUCGGGGUGCUCAGAUGGCGGAGACACUGGCAAGUUUUGCCCUGGCAACGGCCGGCGGCGCCUAGUACAGCCACCUUCGGGUGGUGGGAACGGUGGCUUCUGGUGCGGCUGGGGGGAGAUGUGAGCACCCUGUUGGGUCCUGAAGGAACAACCAUUGGUUGUUGUUUCAGAGACGUGGCCGGCCUCCUGUGUGGGGGCUGGCAGUCUGCCAGGCAUGGCCUGGCCCCACAUACCGCCAACUGUUGUUGGGUUUGGUGUGGGGCGGAUCGGGUUGUGGGUUGGU
Molecule: unclassified non-coding RNA, 308 nt
Filed under: Micromonospora sp.
Lineage: Bacteria; Bacillati; Actinomycetota; Actinomycetes; Micromonosporales; Micromonosporaceae
Description: partial 16S-23S ribosomal RNA intergenic spacer
Source: RNAcentral